This 1164-nucleotide long non-coding RNA is filed under the name Oryzias javanicus (javanese ricefish). RNAcentral describes it as "lncRNA (ENSOJAG00000012839.1)". The record is from RNAcentral. Lineage: Eukaryota; Metazoa; Chordata; Actinopteri; Beloniformes; Adrianichthyidae.
GUGAGGAGCUCCAGCAUGUAACCCGUCAGGUGAAGGAGUCUGAACGGGAGGCCGAGUUGGUUAAUCAGGCCGUGACCACGGUCAAAGGGACGAUGGAAAGAGUGGCGAGUGCGUGGAAGACGUACAACAAACACCUGGCCUUUCUUCAUCUGCAGGUUCAAAGUCCUGUUGAGGAGGGGGAGGUCAUGAACGAGUGGACUUCACGCCACGCUCAGUUAAAUGAGGCUGGGAAUUUUCUGAUUGAAGUGACUGAAACGUCAACGAGCUUUGUUCUGACCGAACAACUCAGCAAACUCAACAAGUCGUGGGCUGAGCACAUGAAGAAGACAGUGUUUGUAAGAACGCACGCAUUUGAUCACGCUCUGCAGUUAUAUUCAUAUUUAGAAAUCAAGUAACCUGGGUCGUUGGUAAUGGUUGUUGUUCUGACAGGAGUUGCCAUCAGAGACUUGUCUCACGAGUCUUCAAGCAGUGAGCUCAAUGAUCCAGGAGGCCGGUUUGCUUGUGAGGAAACCAGUGGAAGUGGCUUCUGUCCCACUGAAGGACAACAUACAGAAACUGCAGGUUUGCAUAGUUGCUGAAUUGGAGGAAUCAUCUUAGUUUUGUGUGAGUAGCUUUAUUGUUUUCUUCUGUCUUCUGUAGUCACUGAAGAAAAAGAUCUCUGCGGUGGACGGCUCAGCUUUAAUGGACUCUUCAGACUUUGAGACAAGAGAUGCAGAAAAGCUGCAGAAAACUCUACAGAUGCUUGCAGACGCAGAGAGGACCUGUGUGGAGAUGCUGCGAGCUGCGUCCAGACUGGAAGCAGGUCUGGCAAAGUUAGAUCACUGGAGUUCAGAGGCUACGACCUGUUACACCCAGCUGAAGGAGAAAAGGAACCGAGGAGCCCGUGAACCUGAGAAGACAGCCAAGGCAACGGUCUCUCAGGGGUGGCAGCUAGCACAGGAGGUGGAAGCUGAGAAUCGAUGUCUCCAGGAACACGUCGAAGGCCUGAAGAAACGCUCCAUGUUUCACUUCAGCUUAUCCUCCCUGCAAAGCAGGGUCUCAGCAUCAGAGUCCCACUGCCAGGAAAUUCUUGGAAUGUUCGGGGAUCUUGGGUUCCAGCACAACGUUGAAGAGUUUCAUCAGGAACCAGUUGAGCCAGAGACCGGAUCCAGAUCUUCACUGCUU